ACGGCUCAGUAACACGUAGAUAAUUUGCCCUUGGUGGAGGAUACCCUCGGGAAACUGAGAAUAAUACUCCAUAGAUCUAGACUGCUGGAAUGCUUUUAGAUCGAAAGAUUUAUCGCCUAAGGAUAAGUCUGCGGACUAUCAGGUUGUAGUUAGGGUAACUACCUGACUAGCCUACGACGGAUACGGGUAGUGAGAGCUUUAGCCCGGAGAUGAUAUCUGAGACACGAUAUCAGGCCCUACGGGGCGCAGCAGGCGCGAAAACUUCGCACUGUGCGAAAGCACGACGAGGGAAUCCCAAGUGCUGGCUCGUAAGAGUCAGCUGUUUUUCUGUCUAGAAAACAGAGAGAGUAAGAGCUGGGUAAGACGGGUGCCAGCCGCCGCGGUAAUACCUGCAGCUCAAGUGGUGGCCGCUGUUAUUGGGCCUAAAACGUUCGUAGCCGGUCUAGUAAAUGCCUGGGUGAAUCAUACGGCUUAACCGUACGAAUUCCGGGUAGACUGCUGGACUUGGGACUGGGAGAGGCUAGAGGUACUCCUGGGGUAGAGGUGAAAUUCUGUAAUCCUAGGGGGACGACCAGUGGCGAAGGCGUCUAGCUAGAACAGGUCUGACGGUGAGGAACGAAGCCCUGGGGCGCAAACGGGAUUAGAUACCCCGGUAGUCCAGGGUGUAAACACUGCUUGCUUGAUGUUAGUCGGGCUCCGAGCCCGAUUAGUGUCGGAGAGAAGUUGUUAAGCAAGCUGCCUGGGGAGUACGGCCGCAAGACUGAAACUUAAAGGAAUUGGCGGGGGAGCAC
Molecule: ribosomal RNA, 791 nt
Filed under: uncultured archaeon
Lineage: Archaea
Description: bacterial SSU rRNA
Rfam family: Archaeal small subunit ribosomal RNA
Source: RNAcentral